This 210-nucleotide long non-coding RNA is filed under the name Lathyrus oleraceus (garden pea). RNAcentral describes it as "Pisum sativum (pea) long non-coding RNA (PSAT_LNC030068)". Lineage: Eukaryota; Viridiplantae; Streptophyta; Magnoliopsida; Fabales; Fabaceae. The record is from RNAcentral.
GAUUUGACACGUCAAUUAAUGAGGCUUGAUCCAAUGCUCCGUCUGAUUUUAAUUAUUUCUCUGUUUUCAUUUUUAAUUCAUUUUUCUUUUAAAAUUCAUUUUACAUCCAAAAAUUCCCAAAAUAAUUUUUAAAAUUCUCAUUUAUUUUUCUCCACCUGAUUUUUAUUUUUCUAUAUUUUGUUUGAUUGAUUUUCUAUUUUUUGUGGAAUU